GAGCGCCCGUAGCAAUACGGGAGCGGCAGACGGGUGAGUAAUACGUGGGAACGUACCCUUCGGUUCGGAAUAACCCAGGGAAACUUGGGCUAAUACCGGAUACGUCCGAAAGGAGAAAGAUUUAUCGCCGAGGGAUCGGCCCGCGUCCGAUUAGCUGGUUGGUGGGGUAAUGGCCCACCAAGGCGACGAUCGGUAGCUGGUCUGAGAGGAUGAUCAGCCACACUGGGACUGAGACACGGCCCAGACUCCUACGGGAGGCAGCAGUGGGGAAUAUUGGACAAUGGGCGCAAGCCUGAUCCAGCCAUGCCGCGUGGGUGAUGAAGGCCCUAGGGUUGUAAAGCCCUUUCGGCGGGGAAGAUAAUGACGGUACCCGCAGAAGAAGCCCCGGCUAACUUCGUGCCAGCAGCCGCGGUAAU
RNAcentral lists this ribosomal RNA (416 nucleotides) under uncultured bacterium. RNAcentral describes it as "bacterial SSU rRNA". It matches the Rfam family "Bacterial small subunit ribosomal RNA", at positions 64 to 524 of the family's 1533-position model. The record is from RNAcentral.